ACCUGUUGACGAUCAGUGCCAGGGAGUCAGGUUAAUAAUAGUCUGUCAAAACUAACAAGUUGCUAAGCAGGUUUGAGGAGAAACUUUACAAGCUGUUUUCUCAAAAAAAUAAAAAAGAAAUGGAUUGGAGCGCACCAGUCGCAUUUUCUCUCGUUAUAGUGGCAUUUAUAGCAAACAGAAAUAAUUUUAGUAAUUCUAACUGAAAGAAAAGUUUGGUCAGUUAUCUUGCUCAAGUCGCCACAGGAUCUUCAACCAAGGCAGAAAAGUGAAAGAGCAAUUUUUUUGAAGGGAGAUUGGAGGUGAGACCGGGCCGACCGAGUUAGAGUGGGAACGCUGUUUUAAGAAACCUAUGAAAAACCCAAUGAGGAAAACAACAUGUGACAUUGUGGGUCAUUUCUGCACACGUUGGACCACCAGUAAGUAUAUUUUAUUCCUCAUUUAGUUCUGAAAAGAGGGAUGUGCAAAAUAUAACCCACAGGUCAUCUGCUGCCCUUUUAUUGAUUUUCUGCUCACAACCGCAUUUAAAGAAGGGCACCAAACUUGGCCCGACAAAAACGGGAGAGUACUGCAAAUGAAAACCCAAAAUAUCAUGACGAGAUAUUCUCUGUAAGGCACAAC
Molecule: long non-coding RNA, 618 nt
Organism: Poecilia latipinna (sailfin molly)
Lineage: Eukaryota; Metazoa; Chordata; Actinopteri; Cyprinodontiformes; Poeciliidae
Exons: 3
Source: RefSeq, a predicted model, not a curated record